This 301-nucleotide ribosomal RNA is filed under the name uncultured bacterium. RNAcentral's name for it is "partial 16S ribosomal RNA". It matches the Rfam family "Bacterial small subunit ribosomal RNA", at positions 509 to 807 of the family's 1533-position model. The record is from RNAcentral.
CAGUCGCCGCGGUAAUACGAAGGGUGCAAGCGUUACCCGGAAUUACUGGGCGUAAAGCGUGCGUAGGUGGUGGUUUAAGUCCGUUGUGAAAGCCCUGGGCUCAACCUGGGAAUUGCAGUGGAUACUGGAUCACUAGAGUGUGGUAGAGGAUAGUGGAAUUUCCGGUGUAGCAGUGAAAUGCGUAGAGAUCGGAAGGAACAUCUGUGGCGAAGGCGACUAUCUGGGCCAACACUGACACUGAGGCACGAAAGCGUGGGGAGCAAACAGGAUUAGAUACCCCAGUAGUCCCUGUCUCUUAUAC